This 293-nucleotide RNase P RNA is filed under the name Deltaproteobacteria bacterium. RNAcentral describes it as "partial RNase P RNA component class A". It matches the Rfam family "Bacterial RNase P class A", at positions 90 to 367 of the family's 367-position model. From Rfam's summary of the family: Ribonuclease P (RNase P) is a ubiquitous endoribonuclease, found in archaea, bacteria and eukarya as well as chloroplasts and mitochondria. Its best characterised activity is the generation of mature 5'-ends of tRNAs by cleaving the 5'-leader elements of precursor-tRNAs. The record is from RNAcentral. Lineage: Bacteria; Pseudomonadati; Myxococcota; Myxococcia.
CUCGGUGACGAGGAGGAAAGCGCAACAGAAAGCAGACCGCCUCUCGCGCUCGCGCGAGGGGUAAGGGUGAAACGGUGAGGUAAGAGCUCACCGGUCCCGGUGGCGACAUCGGGAGCCAGGCAAACCCCACCCGGAGCAAGACCGAAUAGGAGAGCGUUUGAGGGCUGCCCGUCCGAUGCUCUCGGGUUGGUCGCUUGAUCCCGCCGGUAACGGUGGGGCCAGAGGAAUGAUCAUGCCCUGUUUGCCUUCGGGCGUUCAGGGAACAGAACCCGGCUUAUGCCCUGCUCCGGGCU